This 773-nucleotide ribosomal RNA is filed under the name uncultured Neocallimastigales. Its description in RNAcentral is "partial large subunit ribosomal RNA". It matches the Rfam family "Eukaryotic large subunit ribosomal RNA", at positions 18 to 645 of the family's 3401-position model. The record is from RNAcentral. Lineage: Eukaryota; Fungi; Neocallimastigomycota; Neocallimastigomycetes; Neocallimastigales.
CAGACGAUGCGUCAUGCAUAUCAAUAAGCGGAGGAAAAGAAACUAACAAGGAUUCCCCUAGUAACGGCGAGUGAAGCGGGAAGAGCUCAAAUUUGAAAUCUUAAAGGGUUUCCCUUUACGAAUUGUAGUUUAAAGAAGUGUUUUCUGUUGAGGUUUUGGUAAAAGUUCUUUGGAAUAGGACAUCAUAGAGGGUGAGAAUCCCGUAUUUGACCUUUACUUUCAACUUUGUGAUACACUUUCAAAGAGUCGGAUUGUUUGGGAAUGCAGUCCAAAAUGGGUGGUAAAUUUCAUCUAAAGCUAAAUAUUGGCGAGAGACCGAUAGCGAACAAGUACCGUGAGGGAAAGAUGAAAAGAACUUUGAAAAGAGAGUUAAACAGUACGUGAAAUUGUCAAAAGGGAAGCGUUUGACACCAGUGUUGUUUUUCUGAAAAUCAAUUAAAGAACUGUUUAUGCUAAGUUGUUUAGACUUUAUCAGCUAACUGUUUAGUUUUGAGCUUUUCUUUAAUGCACUUUUCAGUUAACAAGUCAACAUCAAUUUCUUUUGCUGUAAAAAAGCUUGAGGAAGGUGGCUUGAGAUUCGUCUUAAGUGUUUAUAGCCUCUUGCCUAUGCAGUCGGAGAGAUUGAGGUCUGCAGCGUAGAUCCUUCGGGGCUAAAUGCAUUUGUGCUAAGUUAUAGCAUUUUAUAGACAACUUGUUGACUAUGAUUUGUCUUGUAGCUUACUCGCUUAUGUUAUUUUACCUACGCUUAGGAUGUUGAAGUCAUCGUAUCGCGC